GAUGAACGCUGGCGGCGUGCCUAAUACAUGCAAGUCGAGCGAACGGACGAUAAGCUUGCUUCUCUGAUGUUAGCGGCGGACGGGUGAGUAACACGUGGAUAACCUACCUAUAAGACUGGGAUAACUUCGGGAAACCGGUGCUAAUACCGGCUAAUAUUUUGUACCGCAUGGUUCAAAAGUGAAAGACGGUCUUGCUGUCACUUAUAGAUGGAUCCGCGCUGCAUUAGCUAGUUGGUAAGGUAACGGCUUACCAAGGCAACGAUGCAUAGCCGACCUGAGAGGGUGAUCGGCCACACUGGAACUGAGACACGGUCCAGACUCCUACGGGAGGCAGCAGUAGGGAAUCUUCCGCAAUGGGCGCAAGCCUGACGCAGCAACGCCGCGUGAGUGAUGAAGGUCUUCGGAUUGUAAAACUCUGUUAUUAGGGAAGAACAUAUGUGGAAGUAACUGCGCACAUCUUGACGGUACCUAAUCAGAAAGCAACGGCUAACUUCGUG
This 497-nucleotide ribosomal RNA is filed under the name uncultured bacterium. RNAcentral describes it as "partial 16S ribosomal RNA". It matches the Rfam family "Bacterial small subunit ribosomal RNA", at positions 28 to 507 of the family's 1533-position model. The record is from RNAcentral.